UGGCGUGUGAAGUAUUCUUGAGGUCUGAGAUUCAAUUCCUAAGUUGUGCAAGAGAGUAAUUAUUUUGCUGCUUGAGCUGUAUAGGUAGUGGUGUUGGACUGAAACACAGUUGUGGGGAGUUUGAAUGGAUUUUGAAUAGAGUUGUUGGGGAGUUGAGGAGUAGUGGGUGGAGAGAUUCAAGGAGGGAUAAGGGGAGGGAUUUGGGGAGAAAAUUUAGGAGUGGGUUGAGAGGAGAGUUGUACCGUUUGGGGAGUUUUCAGCUUGGGAAAUUCGGUUGGGGUUAGGUUGUGCCGAGUUUGGUCUUAGGCAUUUUGGGUAAUCGGUGUUUUGUGUUGUUUUUUCUGCUUGUCUAGGUUUUGGUCAGUUUCAUUUUGCAGCUAUUGCUUUUUGGUGUCAAAUUUUGGCAAGUUUCUUCUCGGG
Molecule: long non-coding RNA, 420 nt
Filed under: Gossypium raimondii (Peruvian cotton)
Lineage: Eukaryota; Viridiplantae; Streptophyta; Magnoliopsida; Malvales; Malvaceae
Description: long non-coding RNA (GRAI_LNC010344)
Source: RNAcentral